GGGUUGUGAGGUUAAGCGACUAAGCGUACACGGUGGAUGCCCUGGCAGUCAGAGGCGAUGAAGGACGUGCUAAUCUGCGAUAAGCGUCGGUAAGGGNNNNNNNNNNAAGCUGAAAAUUGAAACACUGAACAAUGAAAGUUGUUCGUGAGUCUCUCAAAUUUUCGCAACUCUGAAGUGAAACAUCUUCGGGUUGUGAGGUUAAGCGACUAAGCGUACACGGUGGAUGCCCUGGCAGUCAGAGGCGAUGAAGGACGUGCUAAUCUGCGAUAAGCGUCGGUAAGGUGAUAUGAACCGUUAUAACCGGCGAUUUCCGAAUGGGGAAACCCAGUGUGUUUCGACACACUAUCAUUAACUGAAUCCAUAGGUUAAUGAGGCGAACCGGGGGAACUGAAACAUCUAAGUACCCCGAGGAAAAGAAAUCAACCGAGAUUCCCCCAGUAGCGGCGAGCGAACGGGGAGCAGCCCAGAGCCUGAAUCAGUGUGUGUGUUAGUGGAAGCGUCUGGAAAGGCGCGCGAUACAGGGUGACAGCCCCGUACACAAAAAUGCACAUAUUGUGAGCUCGAUGAGUAGGGCGGGACACGUGGUAUCCUGUCUGAAUAUGGGGGGACCAUCCUCCAAGGCUAAAUACUCCUGACUGACCGAUAGUGAACCAGUACCGUGAGGGAAAGGCGAAAAGAACCCCGGCGAGGGGAGUGAAAAAGAACCUGAAACCGUGUACGUACAAGCAGUGGGANNNNNNNNNNAGCUCGAUGAGUAGGGCGGGACACGUGGUAUCCUGUCUGAAUAUGGGGGGACCAUCCUCCAAGGCUAAAUACUCCUGACUGACCGAUAGUGAACCAGUACCGUGAGGGAAAGGCGAAAAGAACCCCGGCGAGGGGAGUGAAAAAGAACCUGAAACCGUGUACGUACAAGCAGUGGGGGCCUCUUUAUGGGGUGACUGCGUACCUUUUGUAUAAUGGGUCAGCGACUUAUAUUCUGUAGCAAGGUUAACCGAAUAGGGGAGCCGAAGGGAAACCGAGUCUUAACUGGGCGUUAAGUUGCAGGGUAUAGACCCGAAACCCGGUGAUCUAGCCAUGGGCAGGUUGAAGGUUGGGUAACACUAACUGGAGGACCGAACCGA
RNAcentral lists this ribosomal RNA (1121 nucleotides) under Shigella dysenteriae. RNAcentral describes it as "partial 23S ribosomal RNA". The stretch from base 197 to 1121 matches the Rfam family "Bacterial large subunit ribosomal RNA", at positions 1 to 782 of the family's 2925-position model. Lineage: Bacteria; Pseudomonadati; Pseudomonadota; Gammaproteobacteria; Enterobacterales; Enterobacteriaceae. The record is from RNAcentral.